GCCCGGGUGGCUCAAUGGUAGAGCGUUGGACUUCUAAGACUUGUUUAACCAGCAUGGUUCGGUUGAUGCGGAAGGCUAUCCAAAGGCUGCGGGUUCGAGUCCCGCCUUGGGUG
This is a transfer RNA of 113 nucleotides. It matches the Rfam family "tRNA". From Rfam's summary of the family: Transfer RNA (tRNA) molecules are approximately 80 nucleotides in length. Their secondary structure includes four short double-helical elements and three loops (D, anti-codon, and T loops). The record is from Rfam.